This is a long non-coding RNA of Herpailurus yagouaroundi (jaguarundi), 1190 nucleotides long. RefSeq lists it as uncharacterized. The record is from RefSeq and is a predicted model, not a curated record. The transcript has 3 exons. NCBI's taxonomy places the organism in Eukaryota, Metazoa, Chordata, Mammalia, Carnivora, Felidae.
UAUGUAUUUCAAAGCAAUAGAAGUAAGUGGUUAUAAGGUUAUGAUUAGUAAGUGGUUAUAGGUUAUAAGGUUAUAUAUAGUAAGUAGUUAUAAGGUUAUGAUUCUCCUGGGUCCUAAAUUCUGUCAAUUAUUUUGUUAUUUAUAGUCCUUUUUUGAGAAUGACUUUUGGCUGAUGUUAGUCUACUGUUGACUUGUAUCUCAAGAUUUUUAAAGACCAUAUCUUAGUAUUUGGCAGUUUUUUUCAUAAGUAAAAAUAUUCUCUUAUUGUGUCUAUUCCACCUCAUUUUGUGUUUAGGCAUUUAUACCUCUAACUCAUUCAUUACAUUAUGCUGUAGAACAGUGACUGUCAACUUUUUUAGUGUAAGGACCAUCAAAUAAUAAUAGACUUCUGUUAUUAUUUGAUAAGGAGUGAAUAAGAACAAAUGGUGAAGUGAUUUUAUAAUGUUUUCUGUAUUUAUUUUUCCCCAAACUCCAGCUGUUUAAUAACAAAUGCCUCCCCACCCUCACCCCAUCACAGCAGCAGGAAAAUCACCCAUCCAAUUGUUGGGGGGAGGGGUGCACUGCAGAAAGCAGGGAACGGGGAGCAGCUGGUGAAGGGCUGGUCAGGCUCCUGCCCCCCAUGUCACUGACUCUUGGGAGCAUCAAGUUGGGCUGGCACAGAAGCCUUUCCUCUGCCCAGCCACCAGCAGGGAGCUCCAUCUAAGGGAGGCUGGGUCUCCAGCCAGAGAGCUUGAGAGGAAGCCAGGGCCGGCAGCGGGAGCAAGGGGAUGAAAAGGGAAGCGACUCUGGUCUGCCACCAAGUCUGGGUCUUCUGGCUUGCCUGUGCCAAGUCCAGCUGCCAGGGGCGGGCCUUGCCCAUCAAGAGGCUGCUGCCACUCACAUGGACCUGGCCUCCCUGGCCUUCCUCUGAGACCUCACAGCCUUGUUGUGGGCUUUAUGCUUCUCUGCCAAUUUGGUGUCCUCUUGGAUUUUGUGCCUCUUGCCAAAUAUGAUCUUGUUAUAAAGGUACUUCUCCUGCUUCAUCAUCCUGAUGGCCAGGCACUUGGCUUAAUUCUCCUCCUCUUGGGCCAGCCACUGCCUGUCCUCCAGCUUCACAGUGCCUGCCAUCACUCUGAGCUUCUUCCCCUCCAUCCUCUGCUCCUCCAGGGCUAUCAGUCAGGCCUCUAAUUCUUUUUCUGAAACUGGCUCCA